This 309-nucleotide long non-coding RNA is filed under the name Zosterops lateralis melanops. RNAcentral describes it as "lncRNA (ENSZLMG00000001937.1)". Lineage: Eukaryota; Metazoa; Chordata; Aves; Passeriformes; Zosteropidae. The record is from RNAcentral.
CGUGGUGAACAGGGGCCGGCUCGGGGCUGGGGAGUUCACGGCCCCAGGGAAAUAAACCCGCGGCGCUGAGAGGAAGGAGGGAUCCCCCCGGUGUUCUGCGCCGAGGGGCCCUGCAGGGAGUGUUUUGGGGAGCUCUCACACCGUGCGAGGAGUUAGGUUUGGAACACAGCCCAGCUGAGAAAUACUUCCCUUUGUUCUCUGUGACCUCUUGACCUGCAAACUGGGAGCAAAUACACUACAGGUGAGGAUGGAGUUGCUGGGUGCUGGGCUGUGCACCUCACUACUCUCAGAUGCUUCCACUGCUGAAUU